This 379-nucleotide ribosomal RNA is filed under the name Hydatigera taeniaeformis. RNAcentral describes it as "partial large subunit ribosomal RNA". It matches the Rfam family "Bacterial large subunit ribosomal RNA", at positions 1952 to 2626 of the family's 2925-position model. Lineage: Eukaryota; Metazoa; Platyhelminthes; Cestoda; Cyclophyllidea; Taeniidae. The record is from RNAcentral.
AAAGGUAGCAUAAUUAAUUGCCUUUUAAUUGGGGGCUUGUUUGAAUGGUUUGACGAGAUAAGUUUUAAUAUUUAAUAUUUGUGUGAAAUUAAUGUUAAGGGUUCAGAAUCCUUAUAUAUUAAUAAGACGGAAAGACCCUAGGAUCUUUUGUUUUUUGUUUGGGGCAAAUUUGUAUAGUUUAUAGAAAUUGUGACCCUAAUGGGUUAUUGGGUUAAGUUACCCUAGGGAUAACAGAGUAAUAAUUAAUGAGAGAUCAUAUCGAAUUAAUUGUUUGCUACCUCGAUGUUGACUUAGGUUUAAGACUUAGGUGUAGUAGUUUAAGUUGUUGGUCUGUUCGACCUUAAAAACCUCCAUGAGUUGAGUUAAGACCGGCGUGAGC